Long non-coding RNA from Astatotilapia calliptera (eastern happy), 1781 nucleotides. The record is from Ensembl. Lineage: Eukaryota; Metazoa; Chordata; Actinopteri; Cichliformes; Cichlidae.
CUCCCUCUUUCUCCAUGGACACUGACCUCCCCCCUCCGCCCACCUUCCCCUCGCUCACAGAUCUCCCCCCGCCUCCCCCUUCACCUCCCCCUCCACCAGCUAUAAGCCCGUCAAGCACCUUCCCGUUGCCACCUCGUCCCGUAUCUGCAGGUUCCCCUCUUCCUCCUCCGCCUCCUCUUCUGUCAGCACCACAUCUCAACACUGGCACCUCUGUUAAUGUGCCGCCACCGCCGCCCCCACCUCCCCUAAGACUGUAACAUUACAGUGUGUCUUGUACUUGGUAGAAUAACUUCUCAUAUUACUUGCAGUUACUCAGACUGUGAACAAGGACGUGAGAUCAACAUUCAUUUUGUUUCGUUUUUUAGCUUGAGAGCUUGCAGUGGUUUACGGCCUGUUGAAUGGCAGUUCUGUUGGUACAGACAGCCGCUCUACAGAUUCCUCCAACAUGUCUCAACAACACCUCGACUGCAUUCCUUAAAAACAAGCUGAAACAGGGAUUCUUGCUCUCCCUUGUCUGCUUAUCCCCCCCACCCCAAAAUGUGAUUUCCUUUCCUUAUUACACCUGCAUAUUGUUACCUUUAAUGGCAGUGGACUUUAGCCCAGCACAGCUGUCAAUAUACUGUGUAGCAAGAGCAUAACUGAUGAUAAGUUGCGUCAAUAGCUCCAAUCUAGGUGAUUUCUGCUUCUUAAACAAGGCUGUACAUUGAUAUAAGUCAACAUUCUGCUUAACCUACAUAUAGCUGAAGGUUUAAAGAAAAAUCUGAUGGACUUUCUUAUUUUUUUGGUUCCUGGGUUGAUUGUCCUCGUCCUUGUGUGCAUAUUUUGUUGCCUAACUUAUAAUAGAGAACCAGGACAAUACUGCUCACCUAGUCACAAUAAUUCUCCCGCUGUGUACACGAUCCCUAUACUGGACGAGCAGCAGCGGGACGAGGAGGAAGUAAUUCACAUUUACGAACUGUAUUUUCAGCCUCCUGUGUACAACUUAAGAAAUGACAGUCCUCCUCCUCCAUACAUACUUGAACCACCACCCUACAUCAACCCACCUUCACCACCACCCUACAUCAACCCACCACCCUGCCUCAACCAGUCACCAGCGCCGCCACCACCACUACCAUCACUACCAUCACUACUACUACCAGCACCACCACCCUACAUCAGUUCACCAUCAUCACCCUAACUCAGCCCAUAACCAUUUAUGCCUUCUUCCAUCCUUUCCAAAAUAUGAGCAUGUAUGUGGUCAUAAGUUUCAUUCGGGACAUUCGGUAUCUGUUUUAGAUUAAAUGUUGUAAUUCCACAUUGUGGGAGAAAGAAUCCUGUAUUGACAUAGUUCAUUUCGAAUUUGCUCAAAUGCACUAAUGCACUUACACGUAAAAUAUGUUUUGGUGAAAAGUUUUCUUGUAGUUUUUUUUUGUUUUUGCUGUUUAAUUGUAAUAAUCCUGCUUCACAACAAAUUCACAUUUAAAAAAACUGACCUGAUGUUUUUCAAAGGAAGACCAAGGAUGACUGUUUAAUUUAUAUACGUACAUAUAUAAAAGUCAAGGCAUUAUGACAGAGCAAUAUUCACAGACAGCAUCACAGUACUGAGAGUGUUUCUAUUUGAGUUACACAUCAUCUUAUUAAAUGGACUGGAACUGAAGAGGACACAGCUUAUUGUUGCAACCGUUAGGUUGUUGCCUCUCUAACUAACUUGACACCCUUGGACUAAACUUCAGCCCGAAGCCCUGGAAUAAUCCACUUAAACCUAUUGUCUCACUGUGUUAUGGAGCACUGUCUCUUCCCCU